AGCGGCGGACGGGUGAGUACGCGUGGGAACAUGCCCUUCGGUACGGAAUAGCCUCGGGAACUGGGAAUAAUACCGUAUACGCCCUACGGGGGAAAGAUUUAUCGCCGAAGGAUUGGCCCGCGUUAGAUUAGCUAGUUGGUGGGGUAACGGCCCACCAAGGCGACGAUCUAUAGCUGGUUUGAGAGGAUGAUCAGCCACACUGGGACUGAGACACGGCCCAGACUCCUACGGGAGGCAGCAGUGGGGAAUAUUGGACAAUGGGGGAAACCCUGAUCCAGCCACGCCGCGUGUCGGAAGACGGCCCUAUGGGUUGUAAACGACUUUUAUUGGGGAAGA
Molecule: ribosomal RNA, 336 nt
Filed under: uncultured bacterium
Lineage: Bacteria
Description: bacterial SSU rRNA
Rfam family: Bacterial small subunit ribosomal RNA
Source: RNAcentral